This 253-nucleotide ribosomal RNA is filed under the name uncultured bacterium. RNAcentral's name for it is "partial 16S ribosomal RNA". It matches the Rfam family "Bacterial small subunit ribosomal RNA", at positions 524 to 776 of the family's 1533-position model. The record is from RNAcentral.
UACGGAGGGGGCUAGCGUUGUUCGGAAUUACUGGGCGUAAAGCGCACGUAGGCGGCUUUGUAAGUUAGAGGUGAAAGCCCGGGGCUCAACUCCGGAAUUGCCUUUAAGACUGCAUCGCUAGAAUUGUGGAGAGGUAAGUGGAAUUCCGAGUGUAGAGGUGAAAUUCGUAGAUAUUCGGAAGAACACCAGUGGCGAAGGCGACUUACUGGACACAUAUUGACGCUGAGGCGCGAAAGCGUGGGGAUCAAACAAG